This 358-nucleotide ribosomal RNA is filed under the name Ensifer meliloti. Its description in RNAcentral is "Sinorhizobium meliloti bacterial SSU rRNA". It matches the Rfam family "Bacterial small subunit ribosomal RNA", at positions 996 to 1353 of the family's 1533-position model. The record is from RNAcentral. Lineage: Bacteria; Pseudomonadati; Pseudomonadota; Alphaproteobacteria; Hyphomicrobiales; Rhizobiaceae.
GGCAGUGGAGACAUUGUCCUUCAGUUAGGCUGGCCCCAGAACAGGUGCUGCAUGGCUGUCGUCAGCUCGUGUCGUGAGAUGUUGGGUUAAGUCCCGCAACGAGCGCAACCCUCGCCCUUAGUUGCCAGCAUUUAGUUGGGCACUCUAAGGGGACUGCCGGUGAUAAGCCGAGAGGAAGGUGGGGAUGACGUCAAGUCCUCAUGGCCCUUACGGGCUGGGCUACACACGUGCUACAAUGGUGGUGACAGUGGGCAGCGAGACAGCGAUGUCGAGCUAAUCUCCAAAAGCCAUCUCAGUUCGGAUUGCACUCUGCAACUCGAGUGCAUGAAGUUGGAAUCGCUAGUAAUCGCAGAUCAGC